RNAcentral lists this ribosomal RNA (253 nucleotides) under uncultured bacterium. Its description in RNAcentral is "partial 16S ribosomal RNA". It matches the Rfam family "Bacterial small subunit ribosomal RNA", at positions 524 to 776 of the family's 1533-position model. The record is from RNAcentral.
UACGAGGGGGGCAAAUGUUGUUCGGAAUCACUGGGCGUAAAGGGAGCGUAGGCGGGUCUUUAAGUCAGGGGUGAAAUCCUGGAGCUCAACUCCAGAACUGCCUUUGAUACUGAAGAUCUUGAGUUCGGGAGAGGUGAGUGGAACUGCGAGUGUAGAGGUGAAAUUCGUAGAUAUUCGCAAGAACACCAGUGGCGAAGGCGGCUCACUGGCCCGAUACUGACGCUGAGGCACGAAAGCGUGGGGAGCAAACAGG